RNAcentral lists this ribosomal RNA (285 nucleotides) under uncultured bacterium. RNAcentral's name for it is "partial 16S ribosomal RNA". It matches the Rfam family "Bacterial small subunit ribosomal RNA", at positions 773 to 1060 of the family's 1533-position model. The record is from RNAcentral.
GUGGAUUAGAUACCCUAGUAGUCCACGCCCUAAACGAUGAAUACUAGACGUUGGGUGUAAAAGCUCAGUGUCGCAGCUAACGCAUUAAGUAUUCCACCUGGGGAGUACGAUCGCAAGGUUGAAACUCAAAGGAAUUGACGGGGGCCCGCACAAGCAGUGGAGCAUGUGGUUCAAUUCGAUGCAACGCGAAGAACCUUACCUGGGCUUGAAACGCAGAUUAAGGGGGAUGAAAGUUCCCGUGCCGCAAGGCGAAUCUGUACAGGUGCUGCACGGCCGUCGCCAGCU